This 460-nucleotide ribosomal RNA is filed under the name uncultured bacterium. RNAcentral's name for it is "partial 16S ribosomal RNA". It matches the Rfam family "Bacterial small subunit ribosomal RNA", at positions 338 to 795 of the family's 1533-position model. The record is from RNAcentral.
CCUACGGGUGGCAGCAGUGAGGAAUAUUGGUCAAUGGACGCAAGUCUGAACCAGCCAUGCCGCGUGCAGGAUGACGGCUCUAUGAGUUGUAAACUGCUUUUGUACGAGGGUAAACGCAGAUACGCGUAUCUUUCUGAAAGUAUCGUACGAAUAAGGAUCGGCUAACUCCGUGCCAGCAGCCGCGGUAAUACGGAGGAUUCAAGCGUUAUCCGGAUUUAUUGGGUUUAAAGGGUGCGUAGGCGGUCGGAUAAGUUAGAUGUGAAAUUCCGCGGCUCAACUUCGGAAUUGCAUUUGAUACUGGUCGGCUAGAGAGUAGUUGCGGUAGGCGGAAUGUGUGGUGUAGCGGUGAAAUGCGUAGAGAUCAUGAAGAACACCGAUUGCGAAGGCAGCUUACCAAGCUACUUCUGACGUUGAGGCACGAAAGCGUGGGGAGCAAACAGGAGUAGAUACCCCUGUAGUC